AUUGAACGCUGGCGGCAUGCUUUACACAUGCAAGUCGAACGGCAGCGCGGGCUUCGGCCUGGCGGCGAGUGGCGAACGGGUGAGUAAUGCAUCGGAACGUGCCCAGUAGUGGGGGAUAGCCCGGCGAAAGCCGGAUUAAUACCGCAUACGACCUGAGGGUGAAAGCGGGGGACCGAAAGGCCUCGCGCUAUUGGAGCGGCCGAUGUCGGAUUAGCUAGUUGGUGGGGUAAAGGCUUACCAAGGCGACGAUCCGUAGCUGGUCUGAGAGGACGACCAGCCACACUGGGACUGAGACACGGCCCAGACUCCUACGGGAGGAAGCAGUGGGGAAUUUUGGACAAUGGGGGCAACCCUGAUCCAGCCAUGCCGCGUGCGGGAAGAAGGCCUUCGGGUUGUAAACCGCUUUUGUUCGGGAAGAAAUACUCUGGGCUAAUACCCCGGGGGGAUGACGGUACCGGAAGAAUAAGCACCGGCUAACUACGUG
Molecule: ribosomal RNA, 484 nt
Filed under: uncultured bacterium
Lineage: Bacteria
Description: partial 16S ribosomal RNA
Rfam family: Bacterial small subunit ribosomal RNA
Source: RNAcentral